This 301-nucleotide ribosomal RNA is filed under the name uncultured bacterium. RNAcentral describes it as "partial 16S ribosomal RNA". It matches the Rfam family "Bacterial small subunit ribosomal RNA", at positions 509 to 807 of the family's 1533-position model. The record is from RNAcentral.
CAGUCGCCGCGGUAAUACCGAGGGUGCGAGCGUUAAUCGGAUUUACUGGGCGUAAAGCGUGCGUAGGCGGCUUUUUAAGUCGGAUGUGAAAUCCCUGAGCUUAACUUAGGAAUUGCAUUCGAUACUGGGAAGCUAGAGUAUGGGAGAGGAUGGUAGAAUUCCAGGUGUAGCGGUGAAAUGCGUAGAGAUCUGGAGGAAUACCGAUGGCGAAGGCAGCCAUCUGGCCUAAUACUGACGCUGAGGUACGAAAGCAUGGGGAGCAAACAGGAUUAGAUACCCGUGUAGUCCCUGUCUCUUAUAC